UACAGAGGUCUCAAGCGUUGUUCGGAAUCACUGGGCGUAAAGGGUGUGUAGGCGGUGUGCUAAGUCAGAUGUGAAAGCCCGGGGCUCAACCUUGGAACUGCAUCCGAUACUGGCAUGCUAGAGAAUUGGAGAGGAGUCUAGAAUUCACGGUGUAGCAGUGAAAUGCGUAGAUAUCGUGAGGAAUACCAAGUGCGAAGGCAGGACUCUGGACAUUUUCUGACGCUGAGACACGAAGGCCAGGGGAGCAAACGGG
Molecule: ribosomal RNA, 253 nt
Filed under: uncultured bacterium
Lineage: Bacteria
Description: partial 16S ribosomal RNA
Rfam family: Bacterial small subunit ribosomal RNA
Source: RNAcentral